Molecule: ribosomal RNA, 2798 nt
Filed under: Salmonella enterica subsp. enterica serovar Derby
Lineage: Bacteria; Pseudomonadati; Pseudomonadota; Gammaproteobacteria; Enterobacterales; Enterobacteriaceae
Description: bacterial LSU rRNA
Rfam family: Bacterial large subunit ribosomal RNA (bases 542-2798)
Source: RNAcentral
CAUUAAGAAGUCUGUGAGGAAAGCGAAAAUAAAGGCUUGACUCAAAAAGAGGAAAGCGUAAUAUACGCCACCUCGCGACGGUGAGCUGAAAGCCGCGUCGCACCUGCUCUUUAACAAUUUAUCAGACAAUCUGUGUGGGCACUCGAAGAUACGGAUUCUUAACGUCCUCGGACGAAAAAUGAAUACCAAGUCUCAAGAGUGAACACGUAAUUCAUUACGAAGUUUAAUUCUUUGAGCAUCAAACUUUNGGGAACCUGCGGUUGGAUCACCUCCUUACCUUAAAGAAGCGUACUUUGCAGUGCUCACACAGAUUGUCUGAUGAAAAGUGAAUAGCAAGGCGUUUACGCGUUGGGAGUGAGGCUGAAAAAAUAAGGCCGUUCGCUUUCUAUUAAUGAAAGCUCACCCUACACGAAAAUAUCACGCAGCGCGUGAUAAGCAAUUUUCGUGUCCCCUUCGUCUAGAGGCCCAGGACACCGCCCUUUCACGGCGGUAACAGGGGUUCGAAUCCCCUAGGGGACGCCNCUUUGUGAUUCAUGACUGGGGUGAAGUCGUAACAAGGUAACCGUAGGGGAACCUGCGGUUGGAUCACCUCCUUACCUGAAAGAAGCGUACUUUGCAGUGCUCACACAGAUUGUCUGAUGAAAAGUGAAUAGCAAGGCGUCUUGCGAUUGAGACUUCAGUGUCCCCUUCGUCUAGAGGCCCAGGACACCGCCCUUUCACGGCGGUAACAGGGGUUCGAAUCCCCUAGGGGACGCCACUUGCUGGUUUGUGAGUGAAAGUCACCUGCCUUAAUAUCUCAAAACUGACUUACGAGUCACGUUUGAGAUAUUUGCUCUUUAAAAAUCUGGAUCAAGCUGAAAAUUGAAACACAGAACAACGAAAGUUGUUCGUGAGUCUCUCAAAUUNGUAAUAGCUCACUGGUCGAGUCGGCCUGCGCGGAAGAUGUAACGGGGCUAAACCAUGCACCGAAGCUGCGGCAGCGACGCUUAUGCGUUGUUGGGUAGGGGAGCGUUCUGUAAGCCUGUGAAGGUGGCCUGUGAGGGUUGCUGGAGGUAUCAGAAGUGCGAAUGCUNGUUGGGUAGGGGAGCGUUCUGUAAGCCUGUGAAGGUGGCCUGUGAGGGUUGCUGGAGGUAUCAGAAGUGCGAAUGCUGACAUAAGUAACGAUAAAGCGGGUGAAAAGCCCGCUCGCCGGAAGACCAAGGGUUCCUGUCCAACGUUAAUCGGGGCAGGGUGAGUCGACCCCUAAGGCGAGGCCGAAAGGCGUAGUCGAUGGGAAACGGGUUAAUAUUCCCGUACUUGGUGUUACUGCGAAGGGGGGACGGAGAAGGCUAUGUUGGCCGGGCGACGGUUGUCCCGGUUUAAGCGUGUAGGUGUGUGUUCCAGGUAAAUCCGGUUCACUUUAACACUGAGGCGUGACGACGAGGCACUACGGUGCUGAAGCAACAAAUGCCCUGCUUCCAGGAAAAGCCUCUAAGCAUCAGGUAACAUCAAAUCGUACCCCAAACCGACACAGGUGGUCAGGUAGAGAAUACCAAGGCGCUUGAGAGAACUCGGGUGAAGGAACUAGGCAAAAUGGUGCCGUAACUUCGGGAGAAGGCACGCUGACACGUAGGUGAAGUGAUUUACUCACGGAGCUGAAGUCAGUCGAAGAUACCAGCUGGCUGCAACUGUUUAUUAAAAACACAGCACUGUGCAAACACGAAAGUGGACGUAUACGGUGUGACGCCUGCCCGGUGCCGGAAGGUUAAUUGAUGGGGUCAGCGCAAGCGAAGCUCCUGAUCGAAGCCCCGGUAAACGGCGGCCGUAACUAUAACGGUCCUAAGGUAGCGAAAUUCCUUGUCGGGUAAGUUCCGACCUGCACGAAUGGCGUAAUGAUGGCCAGGCUGUCUCCACCCGAGACUCAGUGAAAUUGAACUCGCUGUGAAGAUGCAGUGUACCCGCGGCAAGACGGAAAGACCCCGUGAACCUUUACUAUAGCUUGACACUGAACAUUGAGCCUUGAUGUGUAGGAUAGGUGGGAGGCUUUGAAGUGUGGACGCCAGUCUGCAUGGAGCCGACCUUGAAAUACCACCCUUUAAUGUUUGAUGUUCUAACGUGGACCCGUAAUCCGGGUUGCGGACAGUGUCUGGUGGGUAGUUUGACUGGGGCGGUCUCCUCCUAAAGAGUAACGGAGGAGCACGAAGGUUGGCUAAUCCUGGUCGGACAUCAGGAGGUUAGUGCAAUGGCAUAAGCCAGCUUGACUGCGAGCGUGACGGCGCGAGCAGGUGCGAAAGCAGGUCAUAGUGAUCCGGUGGUUCUGAAUGGAAGGGCCAUCGCUCAACGGAUAAAAGGUACUCCGGGGAUAACAGGCUGAUACCGCCCAAGAGUUCAUAUCGACGGCGGUGUUUGGCACCUCGAUGUCGGCUCAUCACAUCCUGGGGCUGAAGUAGGUCCCAAGGGUAUGGCUGUUCGCCAUUUAAAGUGGUACGCGAGCUGGGUUUAGAACGUCGUGAGACAGUUCGGUCCCUAUCUGCCGUGGGCGCUGGAGAACUGAGGGGGGCUGCUCCUAGUACGAGAGGACCGGAGUGGACGCAUCACUGGUGUUCGGGUUGUCAUGCCAAUGGCACUGCCCGGUAGCUAAAUGCGGAAGAGAUAAGUGCUGAAAGCAUCUAAGCACGAAACUUGCCCCGAGAUGAGUUCUCCCUGAGACUUAGAGUCUCCUGAAGGAACGUUGAAGACGACGACGUUGAUAGGCCGGGUGUGUAAGCGCAGCGAUGCGUUGAGCUAACCGGUACUAAUGAACCGUGAGGCUUAACCUU